This 377-nucleotide ribosomal RNA is filed under the name uncultured bacterium. RNAcentral describes it as "bacterial SSU rRNA". It matches the Rfam family "Bacterial small subunit ribosomal RNA", at positions 521 to 896 of the family's 1533-position model. The record is from RNAcentral.
UAAGACGAACCUCCCAAACGUUAUUCGGAAUCACUGGGCUUAAAGGGUGCGUAGGCUGCGUAGUUAGUCGGGUGUGAAAUCCCCCAGCUUAACUGAGGAAUUGCGCCCGAUACUGCUGCGCUGGAGGGAGACAGAGGUAAGCGGAACUGAUGGUGGAGCGGUGAAAUGCGUUGAUAUCAUCAGGAACACCAGUGGCGAAAGCGGCUUACUGGGUCUCUUCUGACGCUGAGGCACGAAAGCUAGGGGAGCAAACGGGAUUAGAUACCCCGGUAGUCCUAGCCGUAAACUCUGAGCACUUGAUCGGAGACUCCCUCAUAGGUUUCUGGUCGUAGCGAAAGUGUUAAGUGCUCCGCCUGGGGAGUAUGGUCGCAAGGCUG